CGGAUCUGUUGAUAGGCUUGGAAAGUUUUUCAAUGAAAGGGAUAAGAAAAAUGGUUCUUAUUUGCCAUAGGAUAGGAUCGUGGUCGAUUAUGGUUGUUGGUGAGGUAACGGCUCACCAAGCCGAUAAUCGAUAGGGGCCGUGAGAGCGGGAGCCCCGAGAUGGGUACUGAGACAACGACCCAGGCCUUACGAGGCGCAGCAGGCGCGGAACCUCCGCAAUACACGAAAGUGUGACGGGGUUACCCAAAGUGUUCAUUAUUGAACUGUGGUAGGUGAGUAAUGUUCCCUACUAGAAAGGAGAGGGCAAGGCUGGUGCCAGCCGCCGCGGUAAAACCAGCUCUUCAAGUGGUCGGGAUGAUUAUUGGGCUUAAAGUGUCCGUAGCCGGUUUAGUAAGUUCCUGGUAAAAUCGGGUAGCUUAACUAUCCGUAUGCUAGGAAUACUGCUAUACUAGAGGGCGGGAGAGGUCUGAGGUACUAUAGGGGUAGGGGUGAAAUCCUAUAAUCCUUGUAGGACCACCAGUGGCGAAGGCGUCAGACUGGAACGCGCCUGACGGUGAGGGACGAAAGCCAGGGGAGCGAACCGGAUUAGAUACCCGGGUAGUCCUGGCCGUAAACGAUGCAUACUAGGUGAUGGCACGGCCAUGAGCCGU
RNAcentral lists this ribosomal RNA (650 nucleotides) under uncultured archaeon. RNAcentral's name for it is "bacterial SSU rRNA". It matches the Rfam family "Archaeal small subunit ribosomal RNA", at positions 153 to 793 of the family's 1478-position model. The record is from RNAcentral.